This 24-nucleotide non-coding RNA is filed under the name Arabidopsis thaliana (thale cress). The record is from RNAcentral. Lineage: Eukaryota; Viridiplantae; Streptophyta; Magnoliopsida; Brassicales; Brassicaceae.
UGAGCAUAUAAAAUCUCUUUAUGC